This 751-nucleotide long non-coding RNA is filed under the name Volvox carteri. Its description in RNAcentral is "long non-coding RNA (VCAR_LNC004092)". The record is from RNAcentral. Lineage: Eukaryota; Viridiplantae; Chlorophyta; Chlorophyceae; Chlamydomonadales; Volvocaceae.
CCUGCAGGGCAUGUGCAGCGAACAACAAUAUAUACUGCAGUAUACAGGCUGGCCAAAACAGGGUGGAGGGUGUGGUCAGCAUUGUGGUGAAGCUGCAGGCCUCCAACCUCACCUAUUCACAUGGCAAUGCCUCUGCUUCACAGCGCAGCAAUAAUUUCAAGGAGGAGCUGAAGAAGUUUUACAGCAACAGAGGAAAACCCAACCUUCACUGCAUGCUGCUGGACACAUACAUCCGAGCUUUUGUCUUGUAAUAGGUGCGGGUGUAUGAAUAGUCUGCCCCCCUUGCAAUGACUGAUUUUCAACCAGCGUCUGACCACCUGGUUUUGCUGCUUUGGCUGUGCAGGUUCGCACCUAUUUAAGUUCUGCUGGUAAGUCGCCGGGUCUGGGGGCGGGGGAGGGCCAUAGAGCAUCAACUCUCUCGGCAGGCAGAAUAGUGCUAGCAGGCUCUACCCGUCCUGAAGUGGCUAUCAGGCUCUACCUUGGGAGCACACUGCCAGCAGCAGCAGCGACAACACGGGCCUAUCCAGCACAGCAUUGGUGGCCUUGAUCGUAACAACUUCCCCGGCAGGCACAGUGCUAGGAUUUUUCACAGUGCCCAGUGCUAAGUUUGAAACAUGUGCAACCCCCAACACGUGUGUGCGGGCACAUGCAGGAGCCCAGAUGUCGGAAAGGAUGGAGAGAGAAUGGAGGAGAGAAGGCGUACCUGCUGCAGCGGCUGCAGCAGCUGUCGUGUUGCCGCGUGAAAUAGCGA